CCAGUGCAACAGAAACACAACUCAUUUACUAUAGUCCAGAAUUGGACAGAGGAAACUCCACCAAAGGGUUCGUCCAGUAGAGCUUCCAUGCACAAGAAACGGUACACCAGAACUCACAAGAGGAUGAAACCCAACUUGAUCUUCUUCCUGUAACUUCUACUGGUAAA
RNAcentral lists this long non-coding RNA (167 nucleotides) under Chrysolophus pictus (golden pheasant). Its description in RNAcentral is "lncRNA (ENSCPIG00010001013.1)". Lineage: Eukaryota; Metazoa; Chordata; Aves; Galliformes; Phasianidae. The record is from RNAcentral.